CCGAGAAUAUUCGACAAUGGGCGAAAGCCUGAUCGAGCGAUACCGCGUGGUGGAUGAAGCGCUUCGGCGCGUAAACAUCUUUUAUGGAGGAGGAAGUUAUUGACGUUACUCCAUGAAUAAGGGGCUCCUAACUCUGUGCCAGCAGGAGCGGUAAUACAGAGGCCCCAAGCGUUACCCGGAAUUACUGGGCGUAAAGAGUGCGUAGGUGGUCGUAUUAGUCGUGCGUCAAAACCCCCGGCUCAACUGGGGAUCCGCGCGCGAAACGGUACGACUCGAGGGAGUGAGAGGUGAAUGGAACUCAUGGUGUAGGGGUGAAAUCCGUUGAUAUCAUGGGGAACACCGAAAGCGAAGGCAAUUCACUGGCACUUUCCUGACACUCAAGCACGAAAGCGUGGGUAGCGAACGGGAUUAGAUACCCCCGUAGUCC
RNAcentral lists this ribosomal RNA (427 nucleotides) under uncultured bacterium. Its description in RNAcentral is "bacterial SSU rRNA". It matches the Rfam family "Bacterial small subunit ribosomal RNA", at positions 355 to 796 of the family's 1533-position model. The record is from RNAcentral.